This 253-nucleotide ribosomal RNA is filed under the name uncultured bacterium. RNAcentral's name for it is "partial 16S ribosomal RNA". It matches the Rfam family "Bacterial small subunit ribosomal RNA", at positions 524 to 776 of the family's 1533-position model. The record is from RNAcentral.
UACGUAGGUGGCAAGCGUUGUCCGGAUUUACUGGGCGUAAAGAGCGCGCAGGCGGUCGUUCAAGUCGCGUGUGAAAGCCCCCGGCUCAACUGGGGAGGGUCACGCGAUACUGAUCGACUCGAAGGCAGGAGAGGGUAGUGGAAUUCCCGGUGUAGUGGUGAAAUGCGUAGAUAUCGGGAGGAACACCAGUGGCGAAGGCGGCGGCCUGGGUUGACACUGACGCUGAGGCGCGAAAGCGUGGGGAGCAAACAGG